RNAcentral lists this ribosomal RNA (858 nucleotides) under Parahelicomyces hyalosporus. Its description in RNAcentral is "partial large subunit ribosomal RNA". It matches the Rfam family "Eukaryotic large subunit ribosomal RNA", at positions 66 to 945 of the family's 3401-position model. The record is from RNAcentral. Lineage: Eukaryota; Fungi; Ascomycota; Dothideomycetes; Tubeufiales; Tubeufiaceae.
CAACAGGGAUUGCCUCAGUAACGGCGAGUGAAGCGGCAAUAGCUCAAAUUUGAAAUCUGGCUCUUUCAGAGUCCGAGUUGUAAUUUGUAGAGGAUGCUUCGGCUUACGUUUCGGUCUAAGUUCCUUGGAACAGGACGUCACAGAGGGUGAGAAUCCCGUUUGUGGCCGAGACUUCCGCCAUGUGAAGCUCCUUCGACGAGUCGAGUUGUUUGGGAAUGCAGCUCUAAAUGGGAGGUAUAUUUCUUCUAAAGCUAAAUACCGGCCAGAGACCGAUAGCGCACAAGUAGAGUGAUCGAAAGAUGAAAAGCACUUUGGAAAGAGAGUUAAAAAGUACGUGAAAUUGUUGAAAGGGAAGCGCUUGCGACCAGACUUGCCCGCGGAUGCUCAACCGGUCCUUCGGCCGGUGCACUCUUCCGCGGUCAGGCCAGCAUCAGUUCGAGCGGUCGGAUAAAGGCCUUGGGAAUGUGGCUCUCUUCGGGGAGUGUUAUAGCCCUUGGUGUAAUACGGCCCGCCUGGACUGAGGCCCGCGCUUCGGCUAGGAUGCUGGCGUAAUGGUCGUAAGCGGCCCGUCUUGAAACACGGACCAAGGAGUCUAACAUCUAUGCGAGUGUUUGGGUGUCAAACCCGUGCGCGAAAUGAAAGUGAACGGAGGUGGGAACCUUAGGGUGCACCAUCGACCGAUCCUGAUGUCUUCGGAUGGAUUUGAGUAAGAGCAUAGCUGUUGGGACCCGAAAGAUGGUGAACUAUGCCUGAAUAGGGUGAAGCCAGAGGAAACUCUGGUGGAGGCUCGCAGCGGUUCUGACGUGCAAAUCGAUCGUCAAAUUUGGGUAUAGGGGCGAAAGACUAAUCGAACCAUCU